AAGGACCAGAUAUGAAUGUGGAGUCAUUCAGGAAUAUUCUAACCAAUUUACUGAAUUUAUAUUUUCCUUCAGAUGAAUUUUCAAAAGUUCUAAAUGAUGGAAACGUGUGUCCAAAGAAGCCUAAAAGAGAACUUUCAAUAAGAAUAAAGAAAAAAUCUGGUGAUACAAAAGCAUAUGUCAGAGUUUAAUUGGAAGAAUAUUUUUCUUUCUUAAUUAUAUAUAACAUAAUGGCAUAGAAUAUACUGAUAACAUUUUACGUUCAAUGAAAUCCAGUAGUUGCCUAAACAAAUAGACCUGCUUUUAUUUUUACUGAUCCACCAUCAACAGUUUACUUAGCAGCAGAAUGAAUUGUUUUCCCAGUCUUCAAUCUACUGCUAGAACUUUAUAUGAUGAAAUUGAAGACUCCACUCUUGCUAGCUGCCUGAAAAACAUCAUCCUAACCUGAUCAGGUAUUUUAGGGUGAGCUAGAUGUGCUGAAAAGCCCCCAUUUAAUACCCACUCUCGGUUCCAAAGUGCAGACACACACACAAACGUGCACAUGCACAUACACCCAGCCUACACUUCUAACAGUGGAUCAUGAGGCUGUGUAUACACCACCACUUCCAGACAACAUGCUGAGCCUGGCUCCUUUGUAAAUAUAUUUAGGAAGUACUCACUGAAUAAAACACCAAACAAUGUCUCCAAGAAUGAAAGGAAUACGAUGUACUUUGUGCUUUCUGUAUUCAAAGUGUUCAAGAUGGCAAAUCAAAUUUUCAGCCUUCGUGUGGUCACGUCUAGGAAGGAUCAAAAGUAUCAAAUGGAUGGAUGAUUCGAUGACCACUGACCCACACUGAUUUUUUUAGCAUGAAUGCCUUCAUUUUACAAACUUAAAAUAAUGGAACUUCAAAUAAGGCCAUGAAUGGAUCGCCUUUGAAGCACCCCACAUCCAGAUAAGAGCUUAUACUGAAAACAAGAAAAUGUAGGGUAUCUGAUCUUCUCAGGGAAUGUCUGACAGGCACUACGGAAGGGACCUGAAUGGAAACCACUUAAGCUGUUUGCAAAAGGGCUAACCUGUGUGGCACGCCUGGCGUUAUAACCUCUUCCUAGUUGGUUAACACACACACAUGUGCACGCACGCGCAUGCACACACCCCACAGAGGCAACAAAACAGCAGCAGCAACAAAAACUGUGAGGGAUUCACUCUAACAAUCCUACAUGGUGAGCCUUCAAAACUGUUCACCUGCAACUGCAAAGCCACACAAGCCUGCUGCAGAAGAGUUGCUUCUCCUUCGAGGGGCAGACACAGAUGAGAGAGCUUCACAUUCAACUAGGAGAGUCCAAGACUUCAAAAUGCAAAGGGAUGCUUCCUUCCACAUACCAUCCCACUGCCAGGGCAAUUAGAAUAAACAGGUAAUCAAAGACCUUUCAUAACUAAAAAGAGGAGAAACAGGCUGAAGCAAAAACAUGACCCCAGAAAGCCUCUCAAGCCCUAAAUAUACCAGUGCUUAGAGCCAGAGGAAGUCUGAUUUGAGAAGUGGUUCCAGGUAAGUUGUUUAUUCAACUGCCAAAGAAACUAGAAUGAAGAAACAUUUAAUAACUUGGAAUUUUAUAAUUUACUUUUAACUAAAUAUUUUUUCAGACUUUUGUUUUACGUCUUUACCUGGAGUAAUUAUACAAUACUAGUACUUAAAUGUAAGUUACUAAAUAUUUCUCUUCUCAGAAAACAAAUAUGAUGUUGGUCAUGUGUCCACAGAUGGUUGGUAAAUGUGUCCACAGUCAAUAACAAAUGUGGCCUUGGCCUGAGCCUGCUCCCCUCUUUCCUCCAUCCAUGAAAACACUCCCCCCUCAAGGCUGGACUGUCAGGGGUUGUGUGAGCUCCUCCAGGCCAGGAUGAAUCCCUCCCCCAACCUGGCAUUUCUGCACUCCCGAUGUGCAGAGGGCCCUCUGGUUCCUAUGAGCAGUGAGCAGGAACCAUCUUACAGUCCUCGAAGUCGUGGUGAUCCCCGCAACGCUUCCCUCGGAUCCUGCAGAGCCACCUGGGGGCUCCAGAAACUGCACAGCCUCUAUAAAGCAAUAAGCAAACUUCAGGGACAGACUCACAAACCCCAACCCUCAAGUACCAGUGAAUUAGACAGCUGUCCCCAACCCCCACUUUCGCACAGCAAAGCAGGAUCUGAGCCGUGUCUGCGACCUACACCACAGCUUACAGCAACGCUGGAUCCUUAACCCACUGAGCGAGGCCAGGGAUCGAACCCACAACCUCAUGGUUCCUAGUCAGAUUUGCUUCUGCUGAACCACAAUGGGAACUCCUUCUUCUUCUUCUUUUAUUGAAUUUUAUUUUUUCCAUUAUAGUUGGUUUACAGUAUUCUGUCAAUUUUCUAUUGUAUAGCAAAGUGACCCAGUCACACACACUAUAUAUACUUUCUUUUUCUCACAUUAUCCUCCAUCAUGUUCCAUCACAAGUGACUAGUUCCCUGUGCUAUACAGCAGGAUCUCAUUGAUCCUCACUCCAAAUGCAAGAGUUUGCAUCUAUUAACCCCACACUCCCAGUCCAUCCCACUCCCUCCCCCUCUUCUAAAUUGGAAAAACAGCUCCAGCCUUACACUAUGAGCUCCUUACUGGAAAGAGUUUAUCAAAUCACUUUCUCCUCUGUCCUGUGCCUUGCGCCCCCACCAUCCCUUCCUGCUCCAAGCCUACCCACUCUCAGGCCCCCUAGCUCUGCUAUUAGGAAUCGAAGUGAGGUAGAAGCAGCAGAUUUAUUUCACCAUUUACAGCAGUGGCUUAAAAACCUAUGAUUUGGGGUCAGAUCACUUGAAUUUGGAUCCCAAGUACACAACUUUUUAACACUACAAACUGAACACAACAUUUAAAUUUCUAAGCUUUGAUUUCCUCAGGUGCGAACACACAUGAGAAAAUCUACUUCCUAGGGUUAAGCUGACUCACCCAGCCAGCACCUGGUAAGUAGUGAGCUCUCAAAAUAUGUUGAUACCAACAUGGCCUUGGGCUGGGCCUAUACCAGACACCCCCUCCUGCCCCCGCUCUCAAUGACCCCAUGACUCCAGGUCUCCUCAAGCACCCAAAUGGAUGCAUACUGUGGAAGAAAGAAGGAAUAGAGAAGAUCCCCAGGAAGUGGCAGAAGCUCAGGCUGUGUCUCCACCCACUAAACCCUUUGAUGCCAUUUAAUUAUUGGGGGAAGGGGUAUGGAUGCAGCUUGAUUCAUACAACGGAAAGUCGAUUUAAACCCAAAUUGUUAAAGUGGUUUAUUUUUAUAGAUACGGUCUCGUGCAUGUGGAAAGAGCCCUCAGCACUGGUCCAGGGCUUUGGGGGGCUCUGAAGUCUGAAGGUCAAGACAGCCAGGUGUGGGCCUUAUUUAUAACAGUCCAACAGUUUCCAAGGCAGUGAAACAACAAGACCGGGUAUGAGUCACACAGACUCACAGGAUCAGAGAAGUCACGGAGGAUCAAAGAACGGAUGAGCCUUCCAGCUCACUGCCCCUCUAAAACCAAAGACGCAUUUCACAGGGCUCACUAUAAUCUGUUCCAACUAAUUUUCAGGGAUUGAGUCUAGAGGAAGAGUCAACAGGAGAUUUUGUUGCUAUAGCCACUUGGAUCCCCAGCAAAGUGGGCUUCAGGGGAACAAUAAAAAGCCAAUUUCUCACAAUACCCUUCCUCAAACGAAAUGAAUGGAAGUUGAAACCAUACUUCCCUCACUUAUGGUGAGGGAUUAAAGACAUAAUUGAACAACCUGCAAAGGGAUCAUAAAUAAAUACAGACAUAAUUGAGCAACUUGCAGUGCACCGCAAAUAACUUACUAAUUUAUUCGAGGGCCUUUAUGUAAGUGUUUUGUAAUGAACACAUCUAUUUUGUUUUUCCUGUUGAAUUCUUUGUCCCAUUACAUACAACAUCUGCCCACCAGCCACAGGUGAAGGGUCACAGGAACAUCAUCCUUGCUAGACAUGACAUUCAAGAUGCAGCCCACAGAGUAUCUCACUUGGCAAAGCAACGUGGGUGAGUACUGCCCAAUCAUCCUGGCCUCCUGAGUGGACAUGCAGUUGAUUAAAGGAGAUUCGGCUGGAGGAGUGGGGAACCAGGGGACUCUCUAAGUCUGCUGUGGGAGCCUUGCUGCCACCCACACUACUCUGUCGAUUCUUGUCUGAGGUUCUUGUAAACUAGGGCAACUGGCAAAGCCAUACAUAUAUACCAGAAUUUGACAGAACAGAGUGUGCUGGGGAGAUGGGAUCAAUUUCCCCAUGACCCAUCCUAGAGUAAUGCACCAAAAGCCAGACAGAGCUAGACUUUAGGUGGCAUGAUUGGGAAGCACCGGCUCCCUUACCUGGUGUGAUCAGAGACGGGACACAAGAGUGACAUGACACAUCAGUACCUUAGCCCCAGCCCUGUAAGCAUUCAUGCCUGGGGAGAGAGUGGUCUUUCCUGGCAUGAUGAGGGCUGUUGGCUGAGUCUUCCAGCUCUAGAAUGCCACAAGCUAGCUGUAGAAUCCUCUAAGUGUUCAUUGUUGGGGAGGAACCAGACCCUCUCUUGGCACCACCAGACACUGACCAGGACUGGCUGCCACAGAGAGGCCACUUCUGUUCUGGGCAUGCCAGCCUGCUCGCCUUUAAAAAGUGAACUCUUCGCAGGUGUAAACUAUAGUCAUAAAUCUGCUGCCCAUACUGCCACCCUGUCUCUGGCUAAAUAAAGAAUUUGGAGUUUCCUGUCCGAGCACAGAGGACCGAUUUCCAAAGUACUGUGUGGGUUUUUUUGCCACUCGCCCCUCCCACCCAAAGCCAAUCUCUGCCCUUUCCUGCCCGACUCUAUGCCCUCUGCAGACUGCAUCACCCAGGUUCCCUUGCCUUUUGCCUUCCGGUUGGGUAUGGCUUAGGGGAAGCAACUACAGGGGAUCAGAGGAGGAGAGAGGGGCCGUGACAUUUCUUCCCUACUCCUGCCUGCUUUGGCCGGCAUUUAUGGCAGGGGUGUGUCCUCCAGGCUCACAGCUCCUGGUGGCCCUGUCUCCAUGGCUCAGCUCUUGCUGGGCUUUCAGGGGCAGCAACAGCCACCUGCUGUUGCAUGUCCCUGGGGGUCUCUUGUCCCUCCACCCUGCCCACACCUCUGAGAUUAGUCCCUUCACUAACAUCUCUUCAUUUAAAUCACCCGAGUCAGAAUCUAUUUCCUGACAGGAUCUGAUUGAAACAGGUAUCUUUCAGCGGUAACAUCCUGUGAUUCUAACACUUGUAGCCCAAGCAGACACUUUGUCGAAACAACAUCCGGAAAGACAUACAUUGUGGGCACUGGAAUUAUGACUUCCAACGCAGGUGGGUUUUGCUCCACCCUACGAGUUAGUAACACUAUCUGGGCUAUUUCUUUACCUCAAGAUUUUAGACUACAAAAGGAUCUAUCUAAUUAUAUUGUUUACUAAACAGCUACCUUUAAAAGCACAUAUAUAAAAACAUGUAUAAACACUAAGAUAGUAUUACUGGUGAGGGUUCAGGUAUAAACUUUGUGGUCACUAAGGAACUGGAAAAGGCAGAGUCACCCUGUGGAAGACUUGCCUGAACAGGCUCGUCUCUUACUUUCAUUGUCCACAUUCUGAUGAUCCUUCUGUGUAUGUUCCAUGUUGAUCUUGUUUUGUGUCCAGGACUCGAUUCAUGGUCCAUAAAGUGAAUUUCAGCAGGGACUAAUCCUUCAUUGCUAAAUUGCUAUGGAGUCUUGGCUUCACUCUGACACACUUGGCAAAAUGCUGGCUGCCUCUUUUAUUCCUUGUUUUCCCAUCAGAAGAAUAACCUUUAUUUAAUAAGUUUAAAACAUAGUUCAAGAUGCCAAUUGUGGCCAAUGGUUAUUAUUACUACUUUAAAACUUGAGAAUGCAGCAAUUUCCCCCAGAAAACUAUUUUUUAAAUAAAAUAUAGGUUUACCACUUAUUGGUUUUUGACUCAGAGAUUUUACAUCAAUUUUUCUGACCCUUUUCCCUAAGAGGAUUGGCAAUUUGGAUGCACACAACCUUUCUCAUCACCCAUCUCUUCUCACCCCGGAUCUCUUCUGACACUUUCACAAAACAGCCUUGUGAGAAUAAAAGCCGGAAGAAUGAACAAGGAAGAGUAUUUUAGAUGUCUGGGAUGGAAAGCUGACAGGUCUGCUAGGAGAGUUUUCCUUCUUCCCUGAACUAUGAAUUACUAAAAUCCUCCUCAUUGUAUAAAGCACCUUGAGCACUUUGAUUUGGCUCUCACAACAAGCAUCUUUGGCUUUGGUUUGGGUCGGUCUCUUUGCAUGCUGUCAGCUGGGGCUGCAACCUGCUGGCUUGGAUCCUAAGACCUCUGAGAGCAGGAGACUUUGUUCUUAUUACAGCAGGUGCCUGGCAGUUAGUAACACAAGGGAAGUGUCACUCAGAGAAGGACCUUCUUUACUAAUACCAUGCUACCGCACUGCCCGCCUUCCCAUGUUCUAGUACACAGUAGCUGGGAGUGCCUCCUGUGCAGGUUUAGGUGCCGUCUGUGAACCAGGAGCCCACGGUGUUCCCAGAUCCCUCACUCUUUGUGUUCUUCGCUUCUUCAGAGAGCUUUUUAAAUGAGGAGAGCACUCUCUAAUUGAACUUUUAAAUAUUUCUCUAGCCACCUCCCACACAACCUACACACAUACACUGGGCAGAAAUACAUUUGCUUUAGCACUUACAGUAUGACAGUUUUAAACUGGAAACUGUCCCUGGAAGCAUCAGUUCAGGAACUUCUAGCUUAUCAAUAACCCAACAAUAAGCCCAAAAAAAGUCUUUUGAUUUUUACUUUUAAUUACGAAUUAUGUUGUAUGUUGUUAGAGAAUAAUAGUCUAUGUUAUAUUAUUACUCCUUUGAAAUUGAUUCAGGCUUCCUUUAUGGUACGAAACAUGUCCUGCUUUGGAAAUAUUUCAUAUGUGCUCAAUAAAGCAUGUUUUGUUAUU
Molecule: long non-coding RNA, 6901 nt
Filed under: Sus scrofa (pig)
Lineage: Eukaryota; Metazoa; Chordata; Mammalia; Artiodactyla; Suidae
Description: lncRNA (ENSSSCG00000058258.1)
Source: RNAcentral